UCACCCCUCAAGCCCCGUGCUUGGUGUUGGACGGUCGGCCGCUCACCGCGGCCCGUCCUAAAGACAAUGACGGCGGCCUGUGGUUCCCCCGGUACACUGAGUGUCUCGACACACGUGCUGGACAAGGGCGCCCAGGUCCCGGUCUUCUCCUUAACCGGAACUAUUUUACAA
Molecule: unclassified non-coding RNA, 171 nt
Filed under: uncultured Chaetothyriales
Lineage: Eukaryota; Fungi; Ascomycota; Eurotiomycetes; Chaetothyriales
Description: sequence contains ITS2
Source: RNAcentral